This 3275-nucleotide long non-coding RNA is filed under the name Zea mays. RNAcentral describes it as "long non-coding RNA (ZMAY_LNC004009)". Lineage: Eukaryota; Viridiplantae; Streptophyta; Magnoliopsida; Poales; Poaceae. The record is from RNAcentral.
GUUGUCAAAGCUACUAAGCCUAUUUGACAGAGAUAUGUCAUAGAGAUCUCACUAUCUUUCUGAGUAGGUGGGCAAUGUCAAUGAUGUUGUAAUCACCUGGUCUUUUGGUUGGUGUUUUUUCCUCAUGGAAUGGCCUUUUUAAUGAUAAUAAAAAAACUAUUUAUUUGACAUAAAUGUUUUUGUUUAAAGAGGUUUCCAACUUGCCAUUUCUUAUGACAAAUGACCUUUGGUGAUUUCUAAUGUGAUCAUAUUUUAUCUUUAUUAGCUGAUAUGAAACAUAAGGCUAACGGUCAGUACAGUCUUAAAGGCAUCUCGGGUGGUCCUUUACUUAAGCUCACUUGUAACAUAGAAAAUAAGCUCAUUUGAGGGGCUUGUGACUUGUAGAGCUGCUGCAACCUUGUGAAUUGUGAUUUUAUAUUUUGAUUAUGGUCUUAUGGUUAUGAAGUUAUAAGCAGUGUCUUUGAGGUGGGGUGAGUUAUCUGGAAGUGAUCAUUUUUUGGUACUGUACAUGAGAAAUUGAUGAGUCAUGAGAGUACCAUGGAAUUGUACUAUAUAGUUGUGGAUUAUGCCAAUAUCUUCAUUUCCGGGUUUAGAAAUUUCUGCACUGAGUACCAGGAAAUGCCAGUAUAGUGUGAUGUGGAUACCACUGAAUUGCUGGGUUUGAGGAUUUGACAUCAACACCUUGUCAUCUCAUCAAAAUCAAUUAUUGGAAGGCAUCCAUAGUUGUGUUUGCAAAGCCUCUUUGGUAUCAGUGAUGUGUGUGAUCUAUCCAACUGGGAAAUUUGAUUUGGCAUGACUAAACUGUCUCUGUGUACCAAUCACUUACCUGACAAGCACAAUAAAGCUUUGCUAUACCUGAUCUCAGCAAUCUCUUACAUUUUGUUCAUAGUGGUACAAUUUUAGCAUGUUCUUACUGUUGUUGAGCAAACCACAAGACUGAAAUCUUCUAGAUACCAAUAUGGAAACAUGGAUGCUUUAGUUACACAUGUAAACUGUGUGAGUUGUGGUUUUUAGUCUUGAAGAGACAUGGGGAAAUGAAAAUGAAGGGUAUGCACAAAAGUUGUGCUGUUUUCUGUUUUUAAACAGGUGGUUAAUGAUUUUGCAUAUAGUUUUCUGGAUGAUUGUACUGCUUGUUGGAUUUUUGUUGAGAUCGUUUGUAUUUCAUUUGCAUUUAAGUUGUCUUGGCAUAGAAUGGUUCUUAAUUUUUUUUCAUUGCCUUGAAAUGUCUAGCUAUUGGUUGAUGUUUGGGCUAAUUAAGAGAUGAACUGUUUACCUAUGAUUCAUUUCUAGAUGACUGAAGUACAAAGGGUAUUGCAUAAUACCUUGCCUUCUCUCUGUGUAGGCUUACUAUUUUGUUGGACAUGGAUUGAUCUUUUGACUAUUGUUUCCAAAUUGGCAUUUUGCUAAGGUUUUGAUUGUAAAAAUAUAUUUUUUGUUGGCUACUAAAAAAACUCGGUUGGUAGGGGAAAGACCGCCCCACGAUAUUAUAUUAAGAAGCUUAAUCAGAAUCCUGACCGAGAAAGGUUAGGAAAGUUACCCCCCAACCCUCUCCGUGUGAAGCAUGAGGGUUCGCUCCAUAUAUACCAGAUCCUUACUCGUGCUUUGAGUCCUCCUAGCCUCUACAUGAUGAUCCGCCCCAUAGGUCAGUCCAUCUCAUGUGCACACAAUCACAAGAAUCAACGAGUGACCUUUUUUAACCUCAGCAUGAAACUCGAUCCCAAAUUCGAACUCAGGACCUAACUACUUAGACCACCUAACUAACUCGGCUAAAGGCCCUUUCGCUUUUGUUGCCUACUAACAUACAUCUAAGUUUGUAGAUAUAUCAGUAUAUCACUUAGAAACGAUAUUUGUAUAUUUGUAAUUUAAUUUGCUUAUGUCUCAUGAUAUAUCCAUUUUUGUGUAAUGGUAAACAAAAUGAAUUUUGAAGACCAUUUCAAUCAUCAAUAUUAAAGGAACUAGUAAAAUAGAAUAAAUGUGAUAUAUCUUUGUGUCUUGAUCAUGCCCAAUAUUUCUUUGUUUUCGAAGCACUCUCGUUAGUAUUCAGUUAGGUUAUGGAGCUCUUGUGUGGCCAUAUUUUCUAAGCCUUGAGUUUGUUAGGUUUGACUCAAAAAGCACCCCUUUGAUUAGAAUGAAUGUCUUCCCAAGUCAACUUCUGUAACUCUGACCACACUCAUAGAAGAAUGCACCAGCUUCAAACAUAUCUUCAUAUCGCAUUUAUUUGGUACUGUAAAUUUUAAUAUAUAAUUCAAUUUCCUAUAAAUUUGGUCAUAGUUCAUAGCUAAUGCUAUUAUAUUGUACAAGUUUGAUGAUUUGUAACUAUGUUUCCGGAAAUUACUUUUUGCGCUUUUCCUCUUCUGCCAGAUAAAAAAUUAUAUCUGUAUUUUACCUUGUUACUCAUAUGCUAAAGUUAUACAGGAAAGAAGGAAAUCUCACGAGGGUUUUCUUUCUCUCUCAAAAUUGGCGAGUUCUUAUUUGGGAAAUUGGUCCCCAAAUAAUGCUUUACCUUUUCAGUAACGUUUUUAGAUGUAAUCACUUCUUGCCCUUUCCCUGCUGUUUUCUCGAUCUUGACAUACAUGUUACAAGUAUACAUGUAAUGUAAAUGCUCUUUUUUUCAUUUUUUGAAACUACUGAUGAUUUGUUUGUUUCUUGCUUUUGAAUUAUUUUUAUUGUUGCAGGGGCACGCAAGGUUCGUUCAAUGACCGAGGGGUGAGGUGAACACAAGUCUGAUCUCGCCAGUUGCAACAAUGUUGCUUUAGACUGCCAUGUUAAAUAAUUCUCCGAGCAAAAGAUACACCCAUUACAAUUUACAAGUGGGUUGCCCCAUGAUUGUAUUGUUAGACGGGAGUUCGGUGAACCCCAACAGUUAUACUGAUACAAAGACAAAAGACGUAAUAAAGGACAAUCAAAGCGUAAACAUUGGCGACGUGAUCAUGCUUCAAUCCCGUCCCCUUCUGUCUUUUCUUACAAUGGAAGCAGGAACUCGUGUGCUCAGGCAUUCUGUCGCUCAUGAUUGCUUGUUGGUUUCUCUCCUCUGUAUAGCCUAAAGGCAAAGUAACACUCCAGAUGCGAAAGUAAGAUGAAAUAACUUACUCCGUACAUCUGGACAGCUUAUUUUUACAUCUAACAUUUUACCAUUCUAUCUUUUACCAUAAGCCCUAAGCUAGCUUAUGUAAACCAAAAGGAGAAAAGCGGGCCUUAAAGGCCUGAACAGUGUAACUGAACAGUAGCUUCAUUUUGAAACCUAUUCUGGCAAUCAGUUUAUUACUACACCUAAG